UACGUAGGGUGCGAGCGUUAUCCGGAAUUAUUGGGCGUAAAGAGCUUGUAGGCGGUUUGUCGCGUCUGCUGUGAAAAUCCGGGGCUCAACCCCGGACUUGCAGUGGGUACGGGCAGACUAGAGUGUGGUAGGGGAGACUGGAAUUCCUGGUGUAGCGGUGAAAUGCGCAGAUAUCAGGAGGAACACCGAUGGCGAAGGCAGGUCUCUGGGCCACUACUGACGCUGAGAAGCGAAAGCAUGGGGAGCGAACAGGAUUAGAUACCCCGGUA
RNAcentral lists this ribosomal RNA (269 nucleotides) under uncultured prokaryote. Its description in RNAcentral is "partial 16S ribosomal RNA". It matches the Rfam family "Bacterial small subunit ribosomal RNA", at positions 524 to 792 of the family's 1533-position model. The record is from RNAcentral.